Molecule: ribosomal RNA, 469 nt
Filed under: uncultured bacterium
Lineage: Bacteria
Description: partial 16S ribosomal RNA
Rfam family: Bacterial small subunit ribosomal RNA
Source: RNAcentral
GAUGAACGCUGGCGGCGUGCUUAACACAUGCAAGUCGAACGGUGAACACGGAGCUUGCUCUGUGGGAUCAGUGGCGAACGGGUGAGUAACACGUGAGCAACCUGCCCCUGACUCUGGGAUAAGCGCUGGAAACGGCGUCUAAUACUGGAUAUGUGACGUGACCGCAUGGUCUGCGUUUGGAAAGAUUUUUCGGUUGGGGAUGGGCUCGCGGCCUAUCAGCUUGUUGUUGAGGUAAUGGCUCACCAAGGCGUCGACGGGUAGCCGGCCUGAGAGGGUGACCGGCCACACUGGGAUUGCGACACGGCCCAGACUCCUACGGGAGGCAGCAGUGGGGAAUAUUGCACAAUGGGCGAAAGCCUGAUGCAGCAACGCCGCGUGAGGGAUGACGGCCUUCGGGUUGUAAACCUUUUUUAGCAGGGAAGAAGCGAAAGUGACGGUACCUGCAGAAAAAGCGCCGGCUAACUACGUG